Molecule: long non-coding RNA, 7107 nt
Filed under: Selaginella moellendorffii
Lineage: Eukaryota; Viridiplantae; Streptophyta; Lycopodiopsida; Selaginellales; Selaginellaceae
Description: long non-coding RNA (SMOE_LNC000185)
Source: RNAcentral
CACACCCGGAGGCAUUUAGUUUCAGAGGAAAAAUAUCAUCCUCAUUCGAAGCUGUGCCAGUGAUGUUCAGACCCACAAGGCAAAGGUUACCAUCGCAAGCGCACUGGAAGCUUGGAAAACCCAUGUAAGAAACCACGUCCGGGGUGACGAGGAUCGGGGAGGCCCUGUUGCAAACCUGGCCUUCGUAGACGUAGUUCUUGAUUCCUUUGCCAGAGCUUUUGAGCUUCAAUCCAGCACCGGUUCUAGCGUUGCUCACAAAGUUUGUCAAAUACACCGCACUAUUGUCCAGAUACAAAGCGCUGCUCUCCACGGCAUAUGGUUCCUGUGAAGCCUUCCGAUACGGAACGCCAACCAAGAGCGCUGCAUAUGAUCCAGGAGCGGUCUGGACGAUCGGGGUUGUGUAAAGACACGAAUCAUCCUUGGAUCCUGGCAAGGUGAAACAAGUUCUUACACUCAUCCCCCAGUAGACUGUCAUCUUCCACACCAGAGUCCUGCUUCUCUUGACAAGCUCUCCUCCAAGAAUGCGGGGAUCUGGCGAGCUAUACAAAGAGCUCUCAUUUGUAGAGGUGAUAUUGCCCGAAACACGCCAGAUGCUGGCCCUCUGGUAUGCAAGCGUUCCCCUCUGGGAGACGUCAAGAGCAUCCGGGAGUGAGGAAUCAGAGACCCACUGAUAGAAUGGAUCAGAGCUUGUGGCAAAGACGGUGGCUUCCCAGCAAGUAGAGCACAUGUCCUCCUUGACGAUAUCCGGGUAGUAAUCCCCUGGAGGUGGCUUGCUCAUCUCUGGAACCGCGAAUAUGGCAGUGACCACAAGUGUCGCCACGAAAGUUGCAAAUGCGAUGCCAAUCACAAGCGCUCCAGUGAGUUUCUCCCUUGGAUUCAACAUCAGUUUAGCUGCGCCUUGUGACUCUGCCAUAGCUCCAAUCUUCUCUGCUCAAACAGAUUAUGCGGUGGAUAUUCGUUGCAUUGAAAUAAAAGUUCAAAUGGAAAGUUUACUUUAAUAUAUCUUGUAAGUAAAUGGCGAAUAAAGCGAUUAUUCCCUUUGCAUAAUGAUAGUACCUGAAAAUUCUUUUGAACAUGGCAGCGCAGAAUGUAGUAGUCCCUUUAUAUUGAUUAAUACAAAGCUUAUAUCAUGCUUUUUAAUAACAACGCCUAUUAAGUCGUCCAUCUCGAGAAACUUUCAUAGUCACAAUGGUUUCUCUUCUUCCUAUUGCUCGUCUUCUUCUUGUUCUUCUUCUUUCAUCUCUUGAUCUUACCUUCUCAAUCGAGCUCGCUGGUGUGCUAAAUCCCGAGGACAUUUCCCUCCCGCCGAGAGAUCCAAGGUCCCAGUCUGUGGAUUCCUAUUGUCGCAGCUUCCAGUUUAGCGUUGCGUCUGGAAACCUCUUGAGCUGGAGAGUCCCUGCCGAGUGUGUUCCAUACGUCCGGAGCUACACCACCGGGCCACAGUACCAAGCCGACGUCCAAGCUGCAACGAGCUUGGCACUCCAGCAAGCCCAGACUUUCUGCGCCAGGCCCGGCAUUGAUGCGUGGCUGUUUGAUGUCGAUGGUACUCUCCUCUCAACCACGCCUUACUUUGCUACAAAGCAGUUCGGGUAACGUCUGGAUCUAUCUCUUCCUCCCCCUGUUGAAAGUUAAUACUUUGCAGAGCUGGGAGCUACAACGACACUGACUUUAACUUGUGGGCCGCCAGAGGCGUCGCCCCGGCGAUCGUUCCAGUGAGGACCUUCUACCGGACGCUUCUCAGGACAAACUGGACAGUGUUCCUCGUGUCCACUCGCCCAGAGUCACUGCGGCGUGCGACUGUGAGGAACUUACUCCGGGCGGGCUACAGAGGCUGGAAGAGGCUCUUCAUGAGGUUUGUGAGCUUUAGAUAACGUUGGCUAGCCUGUCAUGACACCAGAUGCUACUCUUGCUAGACGACCACUCUUCCAGACCCAAGACGAGAACCUUGUUGAAAUAAAGAAAGCAAACAAACUGUCCAGGGGCUCGGCCGAGAAAUCGAUGAAAGAUGCUGGGUAUGACACCAAGGGAGUAACGAGCAACAAGCAAGACACAGGUGGUGACAAGAGCAUUCCACAGUCUCAGGUGCCUGAUCUCUCGGGUAACAAAUAAAACUCAAGCAAUACAAUGCAAGAAACAUACCUCAAUAAUAAUGCAGAUUUGGAUUGUUAGAACAAGAGUAAUAAUUGAAACUAGUACCUCUUUAUUUCACCACGAUCACCACGAUGGACACAGAUAUAGUUUUAUCCGUUUACAUGUUGGCUUUCACGUUGAAUUUCGUUGCAAUCUUCUGACCAAGCGUACGAUCCGCCUGCACACUUUCAUGGUUGAGUUUGAUCACAUGCUGUAUUUUCUUUAUUGUCUAACCUGAGACCAAUAAGAGAGCCAGAUGCUACGGAUUUCCUGGGUGACGCGCGGGUCGGACAGAGCAUCCACAACUCUCGCAAUGAAACGCUCUUGCCUGGAAGUGCAGCAGAGAUUCAGUUAAAACAUGAUUAGCUGAGAGAGAGGUUUGAGAUCUUGCCUAUCAGCAGGCCCGGAGCGGAACCUUGCUCCUGGCUGAGCAAAGUUAUUUUCCUUUUCAAUCAUUGCCAAAGCAUAAAAUGAGAGGCUGGAAGUUAGACUAGCCAAACCUUUUCUCGUCGACCACCGAGAGGGUGAGAAGGAAUAUGCACUCGCUCAGCGUGACGGCAAGGAUCAAAACGCGAAGGGAAAUAGUUCACCUGCAAACACAGAAUAUAGAACGUAAAAGCAAGAGCGUUGCUUGUCAUACCUCUUCGUCCCUGUGGGUGAAGUUCAUGAAUCCCUCGUGAGAUGAGCACACUUGGGAGCAUUCGCAGGAAGCAGCAAAUAGUUCGGCCUCAGCCUGUGCACAGCGUACAAGAAGUCUGUAGCAGUUUAUCAUUGCAAUAACACCACCAAAGCAGCGGUUGCUCGUUCUCCGGAAACAACUCAAUGUUCUCAGACCGCGGGAAGAGAUCCUGGUAUAACAUCGAAGUUGUAGUUGUUGUCGCUCUUCAUUUCCAUGGUCUUUCCCUUCUGCAAUAGAGUGUUGUGAAUCCUGCGUUGCAUAGCUGUGGUUCGAUCCACCAACGAUGACGCCUCCUCUUCCAGCAAGCUUGACAGAAGCAUUAGCCAAGUCAAGUAGUGGUUUCACUUUGUUUGACUUCCUUGAUCUGAGAGAUCGUGUUUUUAGUCAGUUCCAUGCGGGCAUAGUGACAAGGAAAAGCUUCGCCUCCUCCAAAGACUUGGCAUGCCCAAUCGCUGCCAACAAGGCAUUCCAAGUCACUAUGCUCCGCUCGGGCAUCUCAACAAACAAGUCUUGUGCAAUCUCAAGCCGCUCGCAUUGAGCAUAUGAAACGACGAGCACAGUCCACGACACAAGAUUCCAUGCUGGCAUCUUGUCAAAGUAGCUCUUUGCCUUGUCUAGAAGACGAUUCUCGGCAUAUCCCUGGAGCAAUGCCGUCCAUGAGAAGACGUUCCUCUCCGGCAUAUUCUUGAACAAGGCACACGCUUCUCUUGCAUUGCCCCUCGCGGCAAAUGCCGAAAUCAUUGCAGUAGCUGAUAUAAUGUCAUGCUGGGGCAUCUUUCGAAAGAAUCCUCGAGAGGUUAAGAUACCUCCGAGUCUUGCAUAUCCAGCAAGCAUUGAUGUCCAUGCAAUUGCAUUUCGAGGUGACAUAGAAUCAAACAUAUGCUUCGCGCUACACAUAUACCCGCUUUGGGCAUAUGCUGUAAGCAUUGUUGUCCACGACACAAAGUUGGGAUUUGGAAUCGAAUCAAAAAGAAUCUUUGCCUCGUCUACAUUGCCAUGCUGUGCGUACGCUCCAAGCAUUGUAUUCCAUGCAACAGUAUCACGAUCGGGCAUCUCAUGAAAGAUAAGCUUAGCAUCUUGCGGAUACCCGUUUUGGGUAUAUGCAGUCAUCAUAACUGCCCACGAGAAAACGUUCUUGGCGUCGAUGAUGUCAAACACUCGCUUGGCAUCAUUUGGGCUGCCGCAUUUGCCAUACAUCUGGACGAGCAAAUUGGCAGGAAGACGUUCUAUCUGUAGUCCUUUUUAUCUGAAAUGAUCUGGCUGUGUAUCCAGCGACCCUUUGCCAAGUCCUUGGAUUUGGCACAGUGACGAAUCACGGUUGCGAAGUCUUCAAUGGCGUGGUUGGCUGCUCUCUUGAGAGCACUCAUUAGAACGGCAUUCUACACUACUAGUUUUAUAAAAGAUCCAUUCUCUUUUGCCCACUUGGAUAAAAAAAAUUGAUCAUAGGUCACGAUACUAACUAUUGCUGCGUUGAAAGACGCAAUCAUCCCUGGAUAUAAUUCUUAAACCACACACAUUAUGUGGGGCUGUUUGUGGUCAUAGUCUGAAGCUGUUCGCCGCAAAAUUCGUAGGAGUGGAUCUACUUUCUAUUUCUCUUGAGCUCUGCUCUGGAGGGUGAUGAGAUUGUUAUUUGGCUCGGACUGAUAUCAGAGGUCGUUAAAACUCCUCAGGCACCAGGAGGAGACAAAACUUCACUCCACCAGUGUGCUCCAUGGUCGGGAAUCUUCAAAAACACCCGGUGGUGGGCUGAGAAAUUCUCUUAAAUCCACAUUCAUGCAACAAGAGUUAUCAUAUACGGUUAGAAGAGAACAUUGAGCAGCAUAGCAUAGAAGCUAUGGCAAUGUACGAGGAAGGAAAAAGGCGCGGCGAAUGCAAUCAAGCACGAGAGCUGGCUGCAAAGACGGAUGCUUGGAACUGUUGCUUUCAAAUACAAUAAAGACUGCUUAGCUGGAAUCGUUGCUUUCAAAUACAAUACAUAAUGACUGCUUAGCUGUAUGCCUUAGAAAAGCAAUAGCUAUACACAUUCCAGAUACCAAAAGCAUGUAACACAUGAGAAGAUACUCUACAUAGCAUGAGAUUGAGUGGGUUGCCACUUUUUAGUUACUUUCAUUUUAAUCAGUUUCUCUUUUUCCUGAGCUCUAUCUAUAUCCAAUUUUUGUGGCACUCAUCAAACAAUACAUAUUAAUUGUAUAAACUUGCAUGAUUUAAGCUGGUACAGUUACCUCUUCUUUUCUUUCCAAAGAAAAGAAGAGCUCUAUCUAUAUCCAAAUUUUGUGGCAUCCAAGAAUACAUAUUAAUUAGCAUGAUUUAAGCUGGUAUAGUUACCUUUUCUUUUCUUUCCACGUAGCGCAUACGAACGUACACACCGAAAGUUACUAUGGCAAACACAAAGAUUGCAAACGAGCACGCUGCAAAUAAGAUAAUCCAAGAUGGAGUGACUUGAACUGUUGAAGUUGUAGUCACCAAGAACGAGACCCCGUCGAGCUGCUGGAGUAGUGUUUUUGAGGUGGCAAGCCGGGGCUCACUUCCCACAGCAUUCAAGCUGACAAACACGUUAAACAUGUUCCACACGAUCACACCCAAGAGCAGAAAACCCCGAAUUCCCGUCUUAAACAGUGGAAGUCCUAUUGUCGCUUCCACAACCCUGGUAAAUUUGCCUGCGCGCUUCAAGAUCAACGCCUCCACCUCUUGCAAAUCCCUGUUGAACAUCCCCCAGAUGGUCACAAGGAUGGUCACCACUGCUGUGACAAUCCCAACAGUUAUGUCUGAUCUCUGCGACGAAGUGCUCUCCCAUUCCUUCUUCACGAACCUAAGCACGUCCGCCACCUUUUGAGACUCCCUCAAGCGCUUCUCCAGCUUUUGCAUCUCGUUUGAGCUCUUUAGAUCCUGCAAACUUACCGUGCACAGCUUGUCCACCAGCUUCGACUGGCCUUCGUCCAUGCCACACAAGAAGUUGUCGUCCUUGUCGCUUGGAACCUUGUUAUUGAAGGUGUCCAUGAGAACUUCCAGCGAUGCCCGAGAUUGGUGUCUUCCCACAGCGGAUGUUCUGCCAAAGGGAGGGCUCACGGCAACAAUUGGAUCUCUCAAGCACUCCUUCAGAUCUGCCACCAGUGUGGUAUCGUUCGGAGCCUUCUUCUGGAUCGUGUGCUCGGUGCAAGAAACGAAAUCUUUGAGUCGCUGGAUCGUGUCCUCGGCACCAAAGAUUACCCAAUUGAAUCUUAUGCUGAAAUUUACCUGGAGUAGUAUCGAUGUGUUCCAUGUCGGGCUGUAAGAGUAGAAGAUGGUUCUAUUCUCUUCCAAAGGAUAGAUAUCGUAAUCCCAAAACGAAUUGCCCUGGCCACACCCGGAGGCAUUUAGUUUCAGAGGAAAAAUAUCAUCCUCAUUCGAAGCUGUGCCAGUGAAGUCCAGACCCACAAGGCAAAGGUUACCAUCGCAAGCGCACUGGAAGCUUGGAAAACCCAUGUAAGAAACCACGUCCGGGGUGACGAGGAUCGGGGAGGCCCUAUUGCAAACCUGGCCUUCGUAGACGUAGUUCUUGAUUCCUUUGCCAGAGCUUUUGAGCUUCAAUCCUGCACCGGUUCUAGCGUUGCUCACAAAGUUUGUCAAAUACACCGCACUAUUGUCCAGAUACAAAGCGCUGCUCUCCACGGCAUAUGGUUCCUGUGAAGCCUUCCGAUACGGAACGCCAACCAAGAGCGCCGCAUAUGAUCCAGGAGCGGUCUGGACGAUCGGGGUUGUGUAAAGACACGAAUCAUCCUUGGAUCCUGGCAAGGUGAAACAAGUUCUUACACUCAUCCCCCAGUAGACUGUCAUCUUCCACACCAGAGUCCUGCUUAUCUUGACAAACUCUCCUCCAAGAAUGUGGGGAUCUGGCGAGCUAUACAAAGAGCUCUCAUUUGUAGAGGUGAUAUUGCCCGAAACACGCCAGAUGCUGGCCCUCUGGUAUGCAAGCGUUCCCCUCUGGGAGACGUCAAGAGCAUCCGGGAGUGAGGAAUCAGAGACCCACUGGUAGAAUGGAUCGGAGCUUGUGGCAAAGACGGUGGCUUCCCAGCAAGUAGAGCACAUGUCCUCCUUGACGAUAUCUGGGUAGUAAUCCCCUGGAGGUGGCUUGCUCAUCUCUGGAACCGCGAAGAUGGCAGUGACCACAAGUGUCGCCACGAAAGUUGCAAAUGCGAUGCCAAUCACAAGCGCUCCAGUGAGUUUCUCCCUUGGAUUCAACAUCAGUUUAGCUGCGCCUUGUGACUCUGCCAUAGCUCCAAUCUUCUCUGCUCAAACAGAUUAUGCGGUGGAUUGGAAUG